Molecule: long non-coding RNA, 205 nt
Organism: Maniola jurtina (meadow brown)
Lineage: Eukaryota; Metazoa; Arthropoda; Insecta; Lepidoptera; Nymphalidae
Exons: 3
Source: RefSeq, a predicted model, not a curated record
UUGUAAGUUUGCUUGUACGAAGCAAUCUCUGAAACUACUGAACUGAUUUUGAAAUUUCUGUCACCAGUAGAAAACCACAUUAUUCCUCAGUAACAUAGGCUAUUAUUUUAUUUUCAAAAAAAUAGAGAUCCGUACGAAAAUUGUAAUAAGCUACCCGUGCGAAGCCGGGGCGGGUCGCUAGUUAAUAAAAAUCCACCAGUCUACC